CAGAAUUACAUAAUUCGAUGCAAACACAUCUUUCCCAACUAAAUCUCGCUUUUCAUGUUUUUUCCAUGUUUUUUCGCAGAUUUCAGCAGAUUUGUACCACUAAAUCUCGCUUCCAGUUAACCAACUUCUUACGAUCACNAUGGCGGCGGCUUUUCCCUGAGCUCCUGUGAUCGAGUUUGGAUGGGAUGGAGAAGUGGGGAGGAUUGGAUGGCGAAG
This 216-nucleotide long non-coding RNA is filed under the name Hordeum vulgare. RNAcentral describes it as "long non-coding RNA (HVUL_LNC000455)". The record is from RNAcentral. Lineage: Eukaryota; Viridiplantae; Streptophyta; Magnoliopsida; Poales; Poaceae.